AAUUAUCUAUUUUAUUAAAUUUACAAUUACGAGAAUUGUAUAAAAUAUAUUAAUUACAUAUGUAAAAAUGAACAGUGGAUUUAAAUUUUAAAAUUAAAGCAUCGUUGACUGACUCAAAUCGAACACAUUGAAAUAUUAAAAAGUAAAAUUAAAUUUAAAAAAAUUUGACAGUUAAAUCAAAAUGAUUCAUAGUUCAAAUAAGUUUCAUAUAAUUUUUUUCUAAUUAUUAA
RNAcentral lists this long non-coding RNA (230 nucleotides) under Ananas comosus (pineapple). Its description in RNAcentral is "long non-coding RNA (ACOM_LNC033819)". The record is from RNAcentral. Lineage: Eukaryota; Viridiplantae; Streptophyta; Magnoliopsida; Poales; Bromeliaceae.